ACCUGGGUGGCUCAGUCAGUUAAGCAUCUGACUUUGGCUCAGGUCAUGAUCUCAAGGGUUGUGGGUUGGAGCCCCACAUCAGGUU
Molecule: transfer RNA, 85 nt
Filed under: Felis catus (domestic cat)
Lineage: Eukaryota; Metazoa; Chordata; Mammalia; Carnivora; Felidae
Also listed under: 5 other names
Rfam family: tRNA
About the family: Transfer RNA (tRNA) molecules are approximately 80 nucleotides in length.
Source: Rfam by way of RNAcentral